AAUUGAGUAUAUUUAGAUCAGUAAAAGCUGGGGUGGGUAUCACAUUGUGCUAGAAUCUUUCCCUUAAUUGAGAAAGAUUGUUCCCUGGCUAGAGUGCAGCUGCACCAACUAAUAUGAUCUGGAUGCUACUAUUUAUGUUGGUUGCAUGAUAUUUUGAUAAUAAACCUGUCAUGAUGUGCCCUGGAGAAUGGUGGUGCAACAAGUGCACAUCAUUUUAAGCAUUUGUUUCAGUCAGCCUUGAUUAGGGCUCACACCUUUACAAUAUAAUGAUUAAUAUCAAAACUUCCUAUGCCCUCCAUGGCUUCAAAUAAUAAAAUAGGAGCAAAACCAAAUUUCUCAUACUGCUGGCAUCCCAUCCAAGUAAAUAGGAAACUACAGCCCUGGUCACAGCUGAAGUAUAUCUAGGGCAGUGCAAGCCUAGCUCUGAAAUCAGCAUGGGCAAGACAUGUUUAGCUCUACAUGGGUUUCUGAUCCUAAAUG
Pollicipes pollicipes is the source of this 480-nucleotide long non-coding RNA. RefSeq lists it as uncharacterized. The record is from RefSeq and is a predicted model, not a curated record. Lineage: Eukaryota; Metazoa; Arthropoda; Thecostraca; Pollicipedomorpha; Pollicipedidae. The transcript has 3 exons.